GACAGAGGUGCCAAGCGUUAGGCGGAAUCACUGGGCUUAAAGCGUGUGUAGGCGGAUUGGUAAGUACCUUGUGAAAUCCCAUGGCUCAACCAUGGAACUGCUUGGUAUACUGCCUGUCUUGAGCUACUUAGGGGCAACCGGAACAAAUGGUGGAGCGGUGAAAUGCGUAGAUAUCAUUUGGAACGCCAAUAGUGAAAAUAG
Molecule: ribosomal RNA, 201 nt
Filed under: uncultured bacterium
Lineage: Bacteria
Description: partial 16S ribosomal RNA
Rfam family: Bacterial small subunit ribosomal RNA
Source: RNAcentral